This 473-nucleotide ribosomal RNA is filed under the name uncultured bacterium. RNAcentral describes it as "bacterial SSU rRNA". It matches the Rfam family "Bacterial small subunit ribosomal RNA", at positions 28 to 509 of the family's 1533-position model. The record is from RNAcentral.
GACGAACGCUGGCGGCGUGCUUAACACAUGCAAGUCACGGGGGCUGGAGCAAUCCAGUAACCGGCGAACGGGUGCGUAACACGUGAGCAACCUGCCGUACUCAGGGGGAUAGCCGGCCCAACGGCCGGGUAAUACCGCAUACGUUCUCGCAGGGGAGUCCCUGUGGGAGGAAACCUCCGGGGGAGUACGAGGGGCUCGCGGCCUAUCAGCUAGUUGGUGCGGUAACGGCGCACCAAGGCGACGACGGGUAGCUGGUCUGAGAGGAUGGCCAGCCACAUUGGGACUGAGAGACGGCCCAGACUCCUACGGGAGGCAGCAGUGGGGAAUCUUGCGCAAUGGCCGAAAGGCUGACGCAGCGACGCCGCGUGGGGGAUGAAGCAUUUCGGUGUGUAAACCCCUGUUGCCCGGGACGAAUCCACCUUUUCGAGGGUGUUGACGGUACCGGGUGAGGAAGCACCGGCUAACUCCGUGCC